This 413-nucleotide ribosomal RNA is filed under the name uncultured bacterium. Its description in RNAcentral is "bacterial SSU rRNA". It matches the Rfam family "Bacterial small subunit ribosomal RNA", at positions 506 to 918 of the family's 1533-position model. The record is from RNAcentral.
UGCCAGCAGCCGCGGUAAUACGUAGGGGGCAAGCGUUGUCCGGAUUUAUUGGGCGUAAAGAGCGUGUAGGCGGCUUUACAGGUCCGCUGUGAAAACUCGAGGCUCAACCUCGAGCUGUCGGUGGAAACCGUAAGGCUAGAGUCCGGAAGAGGAGAGUGGAAUUCCCGGUGUAGCGGUGAAAUGCGCAGAUAUCGGGAAGAACACCCGUGGCGAAGGCGGCUCUCUGGGACGGUACUGACGCUGAGACGCGAAAGCGUGGGGAGCGAACAGGAUUAGAUACCCUGGUAGUCCACGCCGUAAACGAUGGGUGCUAGGUGUGGGAGGUGUCGACUCCUUCCGUGCCGAAGCUAACGCAUUAAGCACCCCGCCCGGGGAGUACGGCCGCAAGGCUAAAACUCAAAGGAAUGACGGGC